This 497-nucleotide ribosomal RNA is filed under the name uncultured bacterium. RNAcentral's name for it is "partial 16S ribosomal RNA". It matches the Rfam family "Bacterial small subunit ribosomal RNA", at positions 28 to 507 of the family's 1533-position model. The record is from RNAcentral.
GAUGAACGCUGGCGGCGUGCCUAAUACAUGCAAGUCGAGCGAACGGACGAGAAGCUUGCUUCUCUGAUGUUAGCGGCGGACGGGUGAGUAACACGUGGAUAACCUACCUAUAAGACUGGAAUAACUUGGGGAAACCGGAGCUAAUACCGGCUAAUAUUUUAAACCGCAUGGUUCAAAAGUGAAAGACGGUCUUGCUGUCACUUAUAGAUGGAUCCGCGCUGCAUUAGCUAGUUGGUAAGGUAACGGCUUACCAAGGCAACGAUGCAUAGCCGACCUGAGAGGGUGAUCGGUCACACUGGAACUGAGACACGGUCCAGACUCCUACGGGAGGCAGCAGUAGGGAAUCUUCCGCAAUGGGCGAAAGCCUGACGGAGCAACGCCGCGUGAGUGAUGAAGGUCUUCGGAUCGUAAAGCUCUGUUAUUAGGGAAGAACAUAUGUGUAAGUAACUGUGCACAGCUUGACGGUACCUAAUCAGAAAGCCACGGCUAACUACGUG